This 229-nucleotide ribosomal RNA is filed under the name uncultured bacterium. RNAcentral describes it as "partial 16S ribosomal RNA". It matches the Rfam family "Bacterial small subunit ribosomal RNA", at positions 91 to 334 of the family's 1533-position model. The record is from RNAcentral.
UAAAGUGGCGACCGGGUGAGUAACACGUGACUAACCUACCUUUUAGUGGGGGAUAACCUCGGGAAACCGAGGCUAAUACCGCAUAACAUCGCAAGAUCAAAGCAGCAAUGCGCUGGAAGAGGGGGUCGCGGCUGAUUAGCUAGUUGGCGGGGUAAUGGCCCACCAAGGCGAAGAUCGGUAUCCGGCCUGAGAGGGCGCACGGACACACUGGAACUGAAACACGGUCCAG